GGCCUUUUUAAAGGGGGAUUUUUCCCAAUAUUUAAAUCAAAUAAAUAACAUUAACACAAUAAACAACAAUUGAAAAUGUUUUUUUUAGAUUACAGUAUAAAGACAAUAAUAGUGCAUUGACUUGACAUAUCAACGAUAUAAGGAUUCGGCCCGAAACGGGGAAAAUGCUCGGCACAGCCUCGCAUUUCCCCGUUUCUAAGCCUC
Molecule: long non-coding RNA, 204 nt
Filed under: Mytilus galloprovincialis (Mediterranean mussel)
Lineage: Eukaryota; Metazoa; Mollusca; Bivalvia; Mytilida; Mytilidae
Source: RNAcentral